Molecule: ribosomal RNA, 693 nt
Filed under: uncultured bacterium
Lineage: Bacteria
Description: bacterial SSU rRNA
Rfam family: Bacterial small subunit ribosomal RNA
Source: RNAcentral
GAAAGUGUGGGUAUCAAACAGGAUUAGAUACCGUGGUAGUCCACACAGUAAACGAUGAAUACUCGCUGUUUGCGAUAUACAGUAAGCGGCCAAGAGAAAGCAUUAAGUAUUCCACCUGGGGAGUACGCCGGCAACGGUGAAACUCAAAGGAAUUGACGGGGGCGCCGCACAAGCGGAGGAACAUGUGGUUUAAUUCGAUGAUACGCGAGGAACCUUACCCGGGCUUAAAUUACAUUUGAAUAAUCUGGAAACAGUUUAGCAGUAAGGCAAAUGUGAAGGUGCUGCAUGGUUGUCGUCAGCUCGUGCCGUGAGGUGUCGGGUUAAGUGUCAUAACGAGCGCAACCCUUAUUUUCAGUUUCUAACAGGUCAUGAUGAGAACUCUGGAGAGAUUGCCGUGGUAAGAUGUGAGGAAGGUGGGGAUGACGUCAAAUCAGCUCGUCCCUUACGUCCGGGGCUUCACAGGUGUUACAAUGGGGGGUACAGAAGGCAGCUAUCCUGGUGACAGGAUGCUAAUCCCAAAAACCUCUCUCAGUUCGGAUCGAAGUCUGCAACCCGAAUUCGUGAAGCUGGAUUUGCUAGUAAUCGAGCAUCAGCCAUGGCGCGGUGAAUACGUUCCCGGGCCUUGUUCACACCGCCCGUCAAGCCAUGAAAGCCGGGGGUACUAGAAGUACGUAACCGCAAGGAGCGUCUUAG